Molecule: ribosomal RNA, 253 nt
Filed under: uncultured bacterium
Lineage: Bacteria
Description: partial 16S ribosomal RNA
Rfam family: Bacterial small subunit ribosomal RNA
Source: RNAcentral
UACGGAGGGUGCGAGCGUUGUCCGGAAUCAUUGGGCGUAAAGGGCGCGUAGGUGGCGGGACAAGCGUGCGGUGAAAGCCUGGGGCUCAACCCCGGGUCGGCCGUGCGAACUGUUUUGCUUGAGCACUGUAGAGGCAGGCGGAAUUCCGGGUGUAGCGGUGGAAUGCGUAGAGAUCCGGAAGAACACCGGUGGCGAAGGCGGCCUGCUGGGCAGUAGCUGACACUGAAGCGCGACAGCGUGGGGAGCAAACAGG